CAUCUUUCUAUCUCCUCCACCUCUCUCUCUUUCAUAUUCUAUCAGUUCAAAGUCCCAUUUUGCACAAUCUACUCAUCAAAACAACAAAAACAAAACAGCGAUCUUGACCUAAAUUAAUCGAAAUCUGCAUGAAAAGGUCCACGUGCCUUAACCCCUUCUUUCACACCCUUGAAACCCAACAAUCACACUUGCGAAACUGCCAGUCUUUUCUCUUCUAUUGGCUUUUCGGGUUCUUCGGUUCUUCCCCAUUUCAAUGCCAAACCCUUACCAAAAUACAGAAACUCUAUUUCAUGAAUAAACAAAAUACCCAUCUAGUAAAUCCAAAUCCCGACAAAGAAAAUUUUAUAUUUGAAUAAGAUUUAGAUAUAUAGAGAGAGGGAGAAGGGACAGUGAGAAAGAGAUUCACCAAAAGCCACUCCGCACAUAGCUUCAGCUCUUUCAGGACUCUCUGCACCGACUCGGUUACUCUCUCCCAGUCUAUCUUCUUUUUAUUUAUUUAUUUAUUAUUUAUCUUUGUUUCUUGGGUAAGGUCUGACUCAGGAUCUCUAUUCUUAGCAUUAUGAUUGAUCUUCUAUAGAGAUUACUAAGA
RNAcentral lists this unclassified non-coding RNA (589 nucleotides) under Hevea brasiliensis (rubber tree). The record is from RNAcentral. Lineage: Eukaryota; Viridiplantae; Streptophyta; Magnoliopsida; Malpighiales; Euphorbiaceae.